Long non-coding RNA from Prosopis cineraria, 1460 nucleotides. RefSeq lists it as uncharacterized. Lineage: Eukaryota; Viridiplantae; Streptophyta; Magnoliopsida; Fabales; Fabaceae. The record is from RefSeq and is a predicted model, not a curated record. The transcript is spliced from 4 exons.
UCUUCUGGAUCUGACCAGUUCUCCGCUACAAAAAUGACCAGUUCUCUCCAGUCUUCUAGAUAUGCAAGUUAGAAUUAACUUGCAGCUGAUUUUGAUUGUUCAAAAAAAAAAAGGAAUGGUUCAAUAAUGGAGUUCUACAUAUGAGUGUUUUUUUCCUCUUAGUGAUUGUUAGUAUUUUGCCAAGCAAUAAUCUAUUGCCUUUAGAUAUUUGAUUUCUGUUCUGUCUUGUGUUUGAAGCGCCCUUGAUCUUUAUGGAUCGGUUUUUCCUGAAGCAUGGACAGCAAUCCCUGUUUGUUUCUCUUGACAAUGCUGGAGCAUAGAACCUAGGAGCAGAAAACCUGGAGAGGUGGAAUCUAGCUCGAGAAACUUAUCUAAUGACUGAUGAUUGUUAAUCUUGAAGAAGAUGGGGAAGCAAAAAUGGCGGCACCAGAUAAUGCACUGUAUUGUGGACCCCUCAAGUCUCUUCAUCCAAAUUAUCCAAUCUUUCUAACGCAUCACUUGUUUAAUUGUUUAUUGUCAUGAUUAUAAUUUCUCUUAAAGCCUUGGCCUUUUAUGAUUGUUUUAUGAAUUUUACCUACAGAGAGCAGGACCAAUCUUCUGGAGUUCAUGCUUUUGGAGAAAGCUUGAAGUUUUACAUGAUGACGCUAUUGACACUUUUUACUGCCAUUUUCAUAUGUAGCUAAGUUUCCCUGAUGCGUCUGCAAGUUGAAGAAGCUCAUGCAUUAGAGCUGCUAAUUUAAUAGAGUGAUGAGCCUGACCUUUAUCUACCCGUGCAUCAGCCUUUCAACAUAUAUCAAAAUAGGGGAACCACUAACGGCACCGGUAUAUUAAAGUAUAAUCAACCUUUCUCUUGCAUAAAUGAGAAGAGCAAAGAAUUCAGCAUACAUAUCUCUGCGUAGGAUCUUCUUCCACACCGAUGUUGCGAUGGAGCAAUUCUUGAAGACAUGGUUGAUGUCUUAACUGCAUCUAUACAGAAUGCGCAGUGGGGGUUAUCAAUCAUCUUCCUCCAUAGCUGUUUGGCAUUUGUUCGUAGUUUCCCUUUGAGCAUGGGCCAAACAAAAGCCCUUACUCGUUAAGCCACUGGGAGUUUCCAUUCUUCAUCAUUCCAGCUAGCGAAUUGAAAAGCUUUGUAUGCUGAUUUAAAUGUGAAAGCCCCAUUAGAGUUAAAUGCCAGAAGGAGGUAUAGGACCUUGUUCAAUGGGGGUUUAUAAGCCCUUGGCCCCCGUGAAAUGAAAGUUGGCAUAGAUCAGCCUACUUGAUUAUGCUUUACUACUCUUUAGUAUAAGACAAGACUAUUCUAUGAUUUUUAUUGCAAGAUUUUUUGUACAAGUUGCAAAAUCAUUUUUAUUAUAUAAAGUAUUAAUUCUAUGCAUUUGAAAGUUUUUGACAGAUUUUAACAUGUAAGAAGGGUUAAGAAAUAAGAACAGUGUUUUGACCAUCAAUAUGUAUGCACGCGCACA